Long non-coding RNA from Carassius auratus (goldfish), 863 nucleotides. RefSeq lists it as uncharacterized. The transcript is spliced from 11 exons. Lineage: Eukaryota; Metazoa; Chordata; Actinopteri; Cypriniformes; Cyprinidae. The record is from RefSeq and is a predicted model, not a curated record.
GCUGAAACUGUAUAUAAAGAAAAGCUUGGCGUUCAUCCGGUCUCAUUCUUCCGCGGCGCUUCAGGGACUCACUCGUAUCCGGAGGAUUGACUGCACGCGUGAGACAACUGAAAUGUGGUGUGAAUCUGGAAAAUGGGGUCAAAGGAACAUGUGCAGCGAAGUUAAUUUGAAAGGUUGUUUUCGUUCCUGGAACAAGAGAUAUGAAGAUACCAUCAGCUGAGUAAGCAUGAGUUCUGCAGGGGUGAACGCAUAUCUGCAGGAGUUCUACAGGGGUGCAAGGGUUUACUCCUAAUUCUGGCUGUGAAGAGAUCAGCAGCUGUCUGAAUGUUCUUCAGAGACUGAUGACCAGCAUGAUGUGCUGAUGGCAGGCACUGCAUGUGCUCAUUGACAGGUGUUGUUGACUGCUAUUCGUGGUGUGCAAAUAUGAAUGCAGCAUGUGCUUGUAAAGGGGAGCACAAGAUUAUCCAGGAUGGCUCUGGAAACCCAUAUGGUAUAAGCCAUGUUGCCUGCAUCUGACUCUUCUGAAUGGUGGUCCAGAGCUUCGGUUCUUGUUUUCUGAUUUUGAAGUCCCUUGUCUCUGAGGCAAUUAAGUGACGCUCCUCUACACUUGUUACAACCAAGUUUGUAAAGUGUAAUUAUUACAAUAAAGUUACAAAAUCAAAGGUCUGUUUCAAGUUUAUAAGGUGCUUGAUGUACUUGUAUAUGUGGGUUGGUUGAUCUCUUGUCAAGGCUGUCAAAUUAACAUGCCUUUUCAGACAUUUGGUAGUAUGCAAGGACUAAUGGAAAAUAAGCAUGGAAGCACAUUUCUUACAUGUGCUUUGCAUCUCAAAACUGAUUUAAUAAAGUUGUGACAAGACUUGUAA